GACGAACGCUGGCGGCGUGCUUAACACAUGCAAGUCGAGCGGUAAGGCCCUUUCGGGGGUACACGAGCGGCGAACGGGUGAGUAACACGUGGGUGACCUGCCCUUAGCUCUGGGAUAAGCCUGGGAAACUGGGUCUAAUACCGGAUAUGACUCCAUGACGCAUGUUGUGGGGUGGAAAGCCUUGUGCGGCUAGGGAUGGGCCUGCGGCCUAUCAGCUUGUUGGUGGGGUGAUGGCCUACCAAGGCGACGACGGGUAGCCGGCCUGAGAGGGCGACCGGCCACACUGGGACUGAGACACGGCCCAGACUCCUACGGGAGGCAGCAGUGGGGAAUCUUGCGCAAUGGGCGAAAGCCUGACGCAGCGACGCCGCGUGGGGAUGACGGCCUGUGU
This 391-nucleotide ribosomal RNA is filed under the name uncultured bacterium. RNAcentral's name for it is "bacterial SSU rRNA". It matches the Rfam family "Bacterial small subunit ribosomal RNA", at positions 28 to 421 of the family's 1533-position model. The record is from RNAcentral.